This 231-nucleotide ribosomal RNA is filed under the name uncultured bacterium. RNAcentral describes it as "partial 16S ribosomal RNA". It matches the Rfam family "Bacterial small subunit ribosomal RNA", at positions 103 to 334 of the family's 1533-position model. The record is from RNAcentral.
CGGGUGAGUAACGCGUGGAUAACCUGCCUCACACUGGGGGAUAACAGUUAGAAAUGACUGCUAAUACCGCAUAAGCGCACAGUAUCGCAUGAUACAGUGUGAAAAACUCCGGUGGUACAAGAUGGACCCGCGUCUGAUUAGCUAGUUGGUAAGGUAACGGCUUACCAAGGCGACGAUCAGUAGCCGACCUGAGAGGGUGACCGGCCACAUUGGGACUGAGACACGGCCCAA